AUGAAGCCCUUCGGGGUGGAUUAGUGGCGAACGGGUGAGUAACACGUGGGCAAUCUGCCCUUCACUCUGGGACAAGCCCUGGAAACGGGGUCUAAUACCGGAUAAUACCUGCCUGGGCAUCUGGGUGGGUUGAAAGCUCCGGCGGUGAAGGAUGAGCCCGCGGCCUAUCAGCUUGUUGGUGAGGUAGUGGCUCACCAAGGCGACGACGGGUAGCCGGCCUGAGAGGGCGACCGGCCACACUGGGACUGAGACACGGCCCAGACUCCUACGGGAGGCAGCAGUGGGGAAUAUUGCACAAUGGGCGAAAGCCUGAUGCAGCGACGCCGCGUGAGGGAUGACGGCCUUCGGGUUGUAAACCUCUUUCAGCAGGGAAGAAGCGAGAGUGACGGUACCUGCAGAAGAAGCGCCGGCUAACUACGUGCCAGCAGCCGCGGUAAUACGUAGGGCGCAAGCGUUGUCCGGAAUUAUUGGGCGUAAAGAGCUCGUAGGCGGCUUGUCACGUCGGGUGUGAAAGACCGGGGCUUAACCCCGGUUCUGCAUUCGAUACGGGCUAGCUAGAGUGUGGUAGGGGAGAUCGGAAUUCCUGGUGUAGCGGUGAAAUGCGCAGAUAUCAGGAGGAACACCGGUGGCGAAGGCGGAUCUCUGGGCCAUUACUGACGCUGAGGAGCGAAAGCGUGGGGAGCGAACAGGAUUAGAUACCCUGGUAGUCCACGCCGUAAACGGUGGGAACUAGGUGU
Molecule: ribosomal RNA, 737 nt
Filed under: Streptomyces sp. YIM 61092
Lineage: Bacteria; Bacillati; Actinomycetota; Actinomycetes; Kitasatosporales; Streptomycetaceae
Description: bacterial SSU rRNA
Rfam family: Bacterial small subunit ribosomal RNA
Source: RNAcentral